GCCGGGUGUGGUGGUGCAUGCCUGUAAUCCCAGCUACUCAGGAGGCUGAGGCAGGAGAAUCGCUUGAACCUGGGAGGCGGAGAUUGCAGUGAGCUGAGAUCGUGCCACUGCACUCCAGCCUGGGUGACAGAGCGAGACCCUGUCUCAA
Molecule: small RNA, 148 nt
Filed under: Pongo abelii (Sumatran orangutan)
Lineage: Eukaryota; Metazoa; Chordata; Mammalia; Primates; Hominidae
Description: Metazoan signal recognition particle RNA (ENSPPYG00000031436.1)
Rfam family: Metazoan signal recognition particle RNA
About the family: The signal recognition particle (SRP) is a universally conserved ribonucleoprotein. It is involved in the co-translational targeting of proteins to membranes. The eukaryotic SRP consists of a 300-nucleotide 7S RNA and six proteins: SRPs 72, 68, 54, 19, 14, and 9.
Source: Rfam by way of RNAcentral